GACGAACGCUGGCGGCGUGCCUAAUACAUGCAAGUCGAACAGAAAGGCCCUGCUUUUGCGGGGUGCUCGAGUGGCGAACGGGUGAGUAUCACGUGAGUAACCCGCACUUGACUUUGGGAUAACUCUUGGAAACACGGGCUCAUACCGGAUAGGAGCUUUUGCUGCAUGGUGGGCGUUGGAAAGUUUCGGCUGUUGGGGAUGGACUCGCGGCUUACCAGCUUGUUGGUGAGGUAGUGGCUUACAAAGGUUUCGACGGAUAGGCGGCCUGAGAGGGUGGCCGGCCACAAUGGGACUAAGGGACGGCGCAGACUCCUACGGGAGGCAGCAGUGGAGAAUAUUGCGCAAUGGGCGGAAGCCUGAUGCAGCGACGCCGCGUGCGGGAUAACGGGCUUCGGGUUGUAAACCGCUUUCGCCUGUGACGAAGCGUGAGUGACGGUAAUGGGUAAGAAAGCACCGGCUAACUACGUG
RNAcentral lists this ribosomal RNA (468 nucleotides) under uncultured bacterium. RNAcentral describes it as "partial 16S ribosomal RNA". It matches the Rfam family "Bacterial small subunit ribosomal RNA", at positions 28 to 507 of the family's 1533-position model. The record is from RNAcentral.